RNAcentral lists this transfer RNA (72 nucleotides) under Bos taurus (domestic cattle). It matches the Rfam family "tRNA". Rfam says of the family: Transfer RNA (tRNA) molecules are approximately 80 nucleotides in length. Their secondary structure includes four short double-helical elements and three loops (D, anti-codon, and T loops). Lineage: Eukaryota; Metazoa; Chordata; Mammalia; Artiodactyla; Bovidae. The record is from Rfam by way of RNAcentral. RNAcentral also lists the same sequence under 2 other names.
UCCCUGGUAGUCCAAAGGUUAAGACUUUGAGCUGCCAGUUCAGGGGCUCAAGUUCGAUUCCUUGUCAAGGAA